GACGAACGCUGGCGGCGUGCUUAACACAUGCAAGUCGAACGCUGAACCCGCUUCGGUGGGGGAUGAGUGGAGAACGGGUGCGUAACACGUGGGCAACCUGCCCCCGGCUCUGGGAUAACUCCAAGAAAUUGGGGCUAAUACCGGAUGUGACCGCUGGCCGCAUGGUCUGGUGGUGGAAAGGGUUUCCGGCUGGGGAUGGGCCCGCGGCCUAUCAGCUUGUUGGUGGGGUAGUGGCCUACCAAGGCGACGACGGGUAGCCGGCCUGAGAGGGUGACCGGCCACACUGGGACUGAGACACGGCCCAGACUCCUACGGGAGGCAGCAGUGGGGAAUAUUGCGCAAUGGGCGGAAGCCUGACGCAGCGACGCCGCGUGGGGGAUGACGGCCUUCGGGUUGUAAACCUCUUUCAGCAGGGACGAAGCGCAAGUGACGGUACCUGCAGAAGAAGCACCGGCCAACUACGUG
RNAcentral lists this ribosomal RNA (465 nucleotides) under uncultured bacterium. RNAcentral describes it as "partial 16S ribosomal RNA". It matches the Rfam family "Bacterial small subunit ribosomal RNA", at positions 28 to 507 of the family's 1533-position model. The record is from RNAcentral.